Molecule: long non-coding RNA, 6687 nt
Filed under: Rhopalosiphum maidis (corn leaf aphid)
Lineage: Eukaryota; Metazoa; Arthropoda; Insecta; Hemiptera; Aphididae
Description: uncharacterized LOC113559094, transcript variant X7
Source: RNAcentral
AGCGCUGUACAGCUGAACACAUGACGCAUGGUGACACACGAAUAACAUUUCUAACACUUGGGAAAUUAACAACAUCCUACGUUUAAAAUGGACUAGAAGAUGAUUGAAGUACUGCAGAUCAAACAAGGCAUGCUGAUGCACGAAUUAACAUUUCUGUCACUUGGGAAUGUCACAACAUCGUACGUUGAAAAUGGACUAGAAGAUACUGAUAAUAAUAACGGUUUUAUUCAAUAGCGCUGUACAGCUGAACACAUGACGCAUGGUGACACACGAAUAACAUUUCUAACACUUGGGAAAUUAACAACAUCCUACGUUGAAAAUGGACUAGAAGAUGAUUGAAGUACUGCAGAUCAAACAAGGCAUGCUGAUGCACGAAUUAACAUUUCUGUCACUUGGGAAAGUCACAACAUCCUACGUUGAAAAUGGACUAGAAGAUACUGAUAAUAAUAACGGUUUUAUUCAAUAGCGCUGUACAGCUGAACACAUGACGCAUGGUGACACACGAAUAACAUUUCUAACACUUGGGAAAUUAACAACAUCCUACGUUGAAAAUGGACUAGAAGAUGGUGAUAAUUUUAAUAGAUUUAUGCAAUAUUGAAGUAUUGCAGAUCAAACAAGGCAUGCUGAUGCACGAAUUAACAUUUCUGUCACUUGGGAAAGUCACAACAUCCUACGUUGAAAAUGGACUAGAAGAUACUGAUAAUAAUAACGGUUUUAUUCAAUAGCGCUGUACAGCUGAACACAUGACGCAUGGUGACACACGAAUAACAUUUCUAACACUUGGGAAAUUAACAACAUCCUACGUUGAAAAUGGACUAGAAGAUGGUGAUAAUUUUAAUAGAUUUAUGCAAUAUUGAACUAUUGCAGAUCAAACAAGGCAUGCUGAUGCACGAAUUAACAUUUCUGUCACUUGGGAAAGUCACAACAUCCUACGUUGAAAAUGGACUAGAAGAUACUGAUAAUAAUAACGGUUUUAUUCAAUAGCGCUGUACAGCUGAACACAUGACGCAUGGUGACACACGAAUAACAUUUCUAACACUUGGGAAAUUAACAACAUCCUACGUUGAAAAUGGACUAGAAGAUGGUGAUAAUUUUAAUAGAUUUAUGCAAUAUUGAACUAUUGCAGAUCAAACAAGGCAUGCUGAUGCACGAAUUAACAUUUCUGUCACUUGGGAAAGUCACAACAUCCUACGUUGAAAAUGGACUAGAAGAUACUGAUAAUAAUAACGGUUUUAUUCAAUAGCGCUGUACAGCUGAACACAUGACGCAUGGUGACACACGAAUAACAUUUCUAACACUUGGGAAAUUAACAACAUCCUACGUUGAAAAUGGACUAGAAGAUGGUGAUAAUUUUAAUAGAUUUAUGCAAUGUUCGUGUAAUGGGUAUUGAUUGUAAAUGAUAGUAAAUUAAUAAGAGUGUAUCAAUUAAAAUUUGUUAAUGAUCUGAAUAAAGAAAUGGUAAACACCUCACAAUUGUAAUCUUCAUUCUUAAAAUUUGCCUUAGCUGUAAAAAUCUUUUCAAUAUUACUCCGUUUAAUUCAUGAUUAAUUUUUAAUUUAAUCAUUACCCAAAGUUAUGUAAUUUAAACUGUUUAGUUUUAAUAGAUAUAUACAAAUUGUUUUAUUCAUUUCCAAUUCGAGAGUAUCAUUUGCAGAUCAGAGUUAUAUUUUAAGAAUGGUUUAGCCAUACUAUGUUAAAUAACAGCAAUUUUAAGUUGUGUUCAUGUGUAUUCUAUGGUUUCCCUUAUUUGACAUUCAUAUUCUACAAAACAUUCAAAUUGAUUAAAUUCAUUUUAUCUUUUAUGGCUUAUCAAAACGAUUAUCUCUUAUCAUCUGUUAUAAGUUUAUAUUUCAUAUCAUUUUGCAGUUUUACGUUCGUGUUUGUAUUAAAGUUUCAACUGCAAAUUGUUUUCGUGUAUUUUGUAAUAUUAAUGAGGUUUAUCUGUUAGUUUUUGUUGGAUUGUUUCAAUUUAUGAAAUUGUCAGUGUUCUGCAUGUAUUAGUUGUUAUAUUAAGUUUUUCGUUGUUCUCAUGAUUGAACUAUUGCAGAUCAAACAAGGCAUGCUGAUGCACGAAUUAACAUUUCUGUCACUUGGGAAAGUCACAACAUCCUACGUUGAAAAUGGACUAGAAGAUACUGAUAAUAAUAACGGUUUUAUUCAAUAGCGCUGUACAGCUGAACACAUGACGCAUGGUGACACACGAAUAACAUUUCUAACACUUGGGAAAUUAACAACAUCCUACGUUGAAAAUGGACUAGAAGAUGGUGAUAAUUUUAAUAGAUUUAUGCAAUAUUGAAGUAUUGCAGAUCAAACAAGGCAUGCUGAUGCACGAAUUAACAUUUCUGUCACUUGGGAAAGUCACAACAUCCUACGUUGAAAAUGGACUAGAAGAUACUGAUAAUAAUAACGGUUUUAUUCAAUAGCGCUGUACAGCUGAACACAUGACGCAUGGUGACACACGAAUAACAUUUCUAACACUUGGGAAAUUAACAACAUCCUACGUUGAAAAUGGACUAGAAGAUGGUGAUAAUUUUAAUAGAUUUAUGCAAUAUUGAACUAUUGCAGAUCAAACAAGGCAUGCUGAUGCACGAAUUAACAUUUCUGUCACUUGGGAAAGUCACAACAUCCUACGUUGAAAAUGGACUAGAAGAUACUGAUAAUAAUAACGGUUUUAUUCAAUAGCGCUGUACAGCUGAACACAUGACGCAUGGUGACACACGAAUAACAUUUCUAACACUUGGGAAAUUAACAACAUCCUACGUUGAAAAUGGACUAGAAGAUGGUGAUAAUUUUAAUAGAUUUAUGCAAUAUUGAACUAUUGCAGAUCAAACAAGGCAUGCUGAUGCACGAAUUAACAUUUCUGUCACUUGGGAAAGUCACAACAUCCUACGUUGAAAAUGGACUAGAAGAUACUGAUAAUAAUAACGGUUUUAUUCAAUAGCGCUGUACAGCUGAACACAUGACGCAUGGUGACACACGAAUAACAUUUCUAACACUUGGGAAAUUAACAACAUCCUACGUUGAAAAUGGACUAGAAGAUGGUGAUAAUUUUAAUAGAUUUAUGCAAUAUUGAACUAUUGCAGAUCAAACAAGGCAUGCUGAUGCACGAAUUAACAUUUCUGUCACUUGGGAAAGUCACAACAUCCUACGUUGAAAAUGGACUAGAAGAUACUGAUAAUAAUAACGGUUUUAUUCAAUAGCGCUGUACAGCUGAACACAUGACGCAUGGUGACACACGAAUAACAUUUCUAACACUUGGGAAAUUAACAACAUCCUACGUUGAAAAUGGACUAGAAGAUGAUUGAAGUAUUGCAGAUCAAACAAGGCAUGCUGAUGCACGAAUUAACAUUUCUGUCACUUGGGAAAGUCACAACAUCCUACGUUGAAAAUGGACUAGAAGAUACUGAUAAUAAUAACGGUUUUAUUCAAUAGCGCUGUACAGCUGAACACAUGACGCAUGGUGACACACGAAUAACAUUUCUAACACUUGGGAAAUUAACAACAUCCUACGUUGAAAAUGGACUAGAAGAUGGUGAUAAUUUUAAUAGAUUUAUGCAAUGUUCGUGUAAUGGGUAUUGAUUGUAAAUGAUAGUAAAUUAAUAAGAGUGUAUCAAUUAAAAUUUGUUAAUGAUCUGAAUAAAGAAAUGGUAAACACCUCACAAUUGUAAUCUUCAUUCUUAAAAUUUGCCUUAGCUGUAAAAAUCUUUUCAAUAUUACUCCGUUUAAUUCAUGAUUAAUUUUUAAUUUAAUCAUUACCCAAAGUUAUGUAAUUUAAACUGUUUAGUUUUAAUAGAUAUAUACAAAUUGUUUUAUUCAUUUCCAAUUCGAGAGUAUCAUUUGCAGAUCAGAGUUAUAUUUUAAGAAUGGUUUAGCCAUACUAUGUUAAAUAACAGCAAUUUUAAGUUGUGUUCAUGUGUAUUCUAUGGUUUCCCUUAUUUGACAUUCAUAUUCUACAAAACAUUCAAAUUGAUUAAAUUCAUUUUAUCUUUUAUGGCUUAUCAAAACGAUUAUCUCUUAUCAUCUGUUAUAAGUUUAUAUUUCAUAUCAUUUUGCAGUUUUACGUUCGUGUUUGUAUUAAAGUUUCAACUGCAAAUUGUUUUCGUGUAUUUUGUAAUAUUAAUGAGGUUUAUCUGUUAGUUUUUGUUGGAUUGUUUCAAUUUAUGAAAUUGUCAGUGUUCUGCAUGUAUUAGUUGUUAUAUUAAGAUUUUCGUUGUUCUCAUGAUUGAAGUAUUGCAGAUCAAACAAGGCAUGCUGAUGCACGAAUUAACAUUUCUGUCACUUGGGAAAGUCACAACAUCCUACGUUCAAAAUGGACUAGAAGAUACUGAUAAUAAUAACGGUUUUAUUCAAUAGCGCUGUACAGCUGAACACAUGACGCAUGGUGACACACGAAUAACAUUUCUAACACUUGGGAAAUUAACAACAUCCUACGUUGAAAAUGGACUAGAAGAUGGUGAUAAUUUUAAUAGAUUUAUGCAAUGUUCGUGUAAUGGGUAUUGAUUGUAAAUGAUAGUAAAUUAAUAAGAGUGUAUCAAUUAAAAUUUGUUAAUGAUCUGAAUAAAGAAAUGGUAAACACCUCACAAUUGUAAUCUUCAUUCUUAAAAUUUGCCUUAGCUGUAAAAAUCUUUUCAAUAUUACUCCGUUUAAUUCAUGAUUAAUUUUUAAUUUAAUCAUUACCCAAAGUUAUGUAAUUUAAACUGUUUAGUUUUAAUAGAUAUAUACAAAUUGUUUUAUUCAUUUCCAAUUCGAGAGUAUCAUUUGCAGAUCAGAGUUAUAUUUUAAGAAUGGUUUAGCCAUACUAUGUUAAAUAACAGCAAUUUUAAGUUGUGUUCAUGUGUAUUCUAUGGUUUCCCUUAUUUGACAUUCAUAUUCUACAAAACAUUCAAAUUGAUUAAAUUCAUUUUAUCUUUUAUGGCUUAUCAAAACGAUUAUCUCUUAUCAUCUGUUAUAAGUUUAUAUUUCAUAUCAUUUUGCAGUUUUACGUUCGUGUUUGUAUUAAAGUUUCAACUGCAAAUUGUUUUCGUGUAUUUUGUAAUAUUAAUGAGGUUUAUCUGUUAGUUUUUGUUGGAUUGUUUCAAUUUAUGAAAUUGUCAGUGUUCUGCAUGUAUUAGUUGUUAUAUUAAGAUUUUCGUUGUUCUCAUGAUUGAAGUAUUGCAGAUCAAACAAGGCAUGCUGAUGCACGAAUUAACAUUUCUGUCACUUGGGAAAGUCACAACAUCCUACGUUGAAAAUGGACUAGAAGAUACUGAUAAUAAUAACGGUUUUAUUCAAUAGCGCUGUACAGCUGAACACAUGACGCAUGGUGACACACGAAUAACAUUUCUAACACUUGGGACAUUAACAACAUCCUACGUUGAAAAUGGACUAGAAGAUGAUUGAAGUAUUGCAGAUCAAACAAGGCAUGCUGAUGCACGAAUUAACAUUUCUGUCACUUGGGAAAGUCACAACAUCCUACGUUGAAAAUGGACUAGAAGAUACUGAUAAUAAUAACGGUUUUAUUCAAUAGCGCUGUACAGCUGAACACAUGACGCAUGGUGACACACGAAUAACAUUUCUAACACUUGGGAAAUUAACAACAUCCUACGUUGAAAAUGGACUAGAAGAUGGUGAUAAUUUUAAUAGAUUUAUGCAAUAUUGAAGUACUGCAGAUCAAACAAGGCAUGCUGAUGCACGAAUUAACAUUUCUGUCACUUGGGAAAGUCACAACAUCCUACGUUGAAAAUGGACUAGAAGAUACUGAUAAUAAUAACGGUUUUAUUCAAUAGCGCUGUACAGCUGAACACAUGACGCAUGGUGACACACGAAUAACAUUUCUAACACUUGGGAAAUUAACAACAUCCUACGUUGAAAAUGGACUAGAAGAUGGUGAUAAUUUUAAUAGAUUUAUGCAAUAUUGAAGUACUGCUGAUCAAACAAGGCAUGCUGAUGCACGAAUUAACAUUUCUGUCACUUUGGAAUGUCACAACAUCUUACGUUGAAAAUGGACUAGAAGAUACUGAUAAUAAUAACGGUUUUAUUCAAUAGCGCUGUACAGCUGAACACAUGACGCAUGGUGACACACGAAUAACAUUUCAAUCACUUGGGAAAUUAACAACAUCCUACGUUGAAAAUGGACUAGAAGAUGAUUGAAGUACUGCAGAUCAAACAAGGCAUGCUGAUGCACGAAUUAACAUUUCUGUCACUUGGGAAAGUCACAACAUCCUACGUUGAAAAUGGACUAGAAGAUACUGAUAAUAAUAACGGUUUUAUUCAAUAGCGCUGUACAGCUGAACACAUGACGCAUGGUGACACACGAAUAACAUUUCAAUCACUUGGGAAAUUAACAACAUCCUACGUUGAAAAUGGACUAGAAGAUGAUUGAAGUACUGCAGAUCAAACAAGGCAUGCUGAUGCACGAAUUAACAUUUCUGUCACUUGGGAAAGUCACAACAUCCUACGUUGAAAAUGGACUAGAAGAUACUGAUAAUAAUAACGGUUUUAUUUAAUAUUGCUGUACAGCUGAUCACAUGAUGCAUGGCGACACACGAAUAAUAUUUCUAACACUUGGGAAAUUCAUAACAUCCCACGUUGGAAAUGGACUAGAAGAUGAUGAUAAUUUUAAUAGUUUUUUCAAUGUAUGUGUAAUUGGUAUUGAAUGUAAUUGAAAAUCAAUUAACACUAGUGUUAUAAUAAUUUAGUGUCAUGACA